AAACUGACAACGCCAUGGCUAAAAAUGAAAAAGAAAAACAGAAAAACAAUAGUACACAUGACACAACAUAGAAAACUAAAGAAUAAACAACACGAACCCCACCAAAAACUAGGGGUGAUCUCAGGUGCUCCGGAAGGGUAAGCAGAUCCUGCUCCACAUGUGGCACCCGUCGUGUUGCUUAUGUGAUUACAAAUCCGGUAAAUAGUCUAAUUCGGUAGGUCAC
Molecule: long non-coding RNA, 223 nt
Filed under: Mytilus galloprovincialis (Mediterranean mussel)
Lineage: Eukaryota; Metazoa; Mollusca; Bivalvia; Mytilida; Mytilidae
Source: RNAcentral